AUGAACGCUGGCGGCGUGCCUAAUACAUGCAAGUCGAGCGAACAGACGAGGAGCUUGCUCCUCUGACGUUAGCGGCGGACGGGUGAGUAACACGUGGAUAACCUACCUAUAAGACUGGGAUAACUUCGGGAAACCGGAGCUAAUACCGGAUAAUAUAUUGAACCGCAUGGUUCCAUAGUGAAAGACGGUUUUGCUGUCACUUAUAGAUGGAUCCGCGCCGCAUUAGCUAGUUGGUAAGGUAACGGCUUACCAAGGCGACGAUGCGUAGCCGACCUGAGAGGGUGAUCGGCCACACUGGAACUGAGACACGGUCCAGACUCCUACGGGAGGCAGCAGUAGGGAAUCUUCCGCGAUGGGCGAAAGCCUGACGGAGCAACGCCGCGUGAGUGAUGAAGGUCUUCGGAUCGUAAAACUCUGUUAUUAGGGAAGAACAAAUGUGUAAGUAACUAUGCACGUCUUGACGGUACCUAAUCAGAAAGCCACGGCUAACUACGUG
Molecule: ribosomal RNA, 496 nt
Filed under: uncultured bacterium
Lineage: Bacteria
Description: partial 16S ribosomal RNA
Rfam family: Bacterial small subunit ribosomal RNA
Source: RNAcentral